UUAAGCGACUAAGCGUACACGGUGGAUGCCCUGGCAGUCAGAGGCGAUGAAGGGCGUGCUAAUCUGCGAUAAGCGCCGGUAAGGUGAUAUGAACCGUUAUAACCGGCGAUACCCGAAUGGGGAAACCCAGUGUGAUUCGUCACACUAUCAUUAACUGAAUCCAUAGGUUAAUGAGGCGAACCGGGGGAACUGAAACAUCUAAGUACCCCGAGGAAAAGAAAUCAACCGAGAUUCCCCCAGUAGCGGCGAGCGAACGGGGAGGAGCCCAGAGCCUGAAUCAGCAUGUGUGUUAGUGGAAGCGUCUGGAAAGGCGCGCGAUACAGGGUGACAGCCCCGUACACAAAAGCGCAUGUGCUGUGAGCUCGAUGAGUAGGGCGGGACACGUGGUAUCCUGUCUGAAUAUGGGGGGACCAUCCUCCAAGGCUAAAUACUCCUGACUGACCGAUAGUGAACCAGUACCGUGAGGGAAAGGCGAAAAGAACCCCGGCGAGGGGAGUGAAAAAGAACCUGAAACCGUGUACGUACAAGCAGUGGGAGCCCCACCACUAAGCCAGUGGUGAACUCCACAUCCGCAUCCUUUGCUGAGGAUACGGUUAACGGAGCGAAAGCGACGUUCAACCGCAAAACAAGCAGAGGGGCUUAGUGGUGGGGUGACUGCGUACCUUUUGUAUAAUGGGUCAGCGACUUAUAUUCUGUAGCAAGGUUAACCGUAUAGGGGAGCCGGAGGGAAACCGAGUCUUAAUUGGGCGUUAAGUUGCAGGGUAUAGACCCGAAACCCGGUGAUCUAGCCAUGGGCAGGUUGAAGGUUGGGUAACACUAACUGGAGGACCGAACCGACUAAUGUUGAAAAAUUAGCGGAUGACCUGUGGCUGGGGGUGAAAGGCCAAUCAAACCGGGAGAUAGCUGGUUCUCCCCGAAAGCUAUUUAGGUAGCGCCUCGUGAAUUCAUCUCCGGGGGUAGAGCACUGUUUCGGCUAGGGGGCCAUCCCGGCUUACCAACCCGAUGCAAACUGCGAAUACCGGAGAAUGUUAUCACGGGAGACACACGGCGGGUGCUAACGUCCGUCGUGAAGAGGGAAACAACCCAGACCGCCAGCUAAGGUCCCAAAGUCAUGGUUAAGUGGGAAACGAUGUGGGAAGGCCCAGACAGCCAGGAUGUUGGCUUAGAAGCAGCCAUCAUUUAAAGAAAGCGUAAUAGCUCACUGGUCGAGUCGGCCUGCGCGGAAGAUGUAACGGGGCUAAACCAUGCACCGAAGCUGCGGCAGCGAACGUAUCACCCAAGACAACUUUACGGAGUUGACGAUUGACGGAGCGAAGCGACGUCAAAGCGUUCAUUAAAGUCGAGUUGGCUUAGGGAUACGUUCGUUGGGUAGGGGAGCGUUCUGUAAGCCUGUGAAGGUGUGUCGUGAGGCAUGCUGGAGGUAUCAGAAGUGCGAAUGCUGACAUAAGUAACGAUAAAGCGGGUGAAAAGCCCGCUCGCCGGAAGACCAAGGGUUCCUGUCCAACGUUAAUCGGGGCAGGGUGAGUCGACCCCUAAGGCGAGGCCGAAAGGCGUAGUCGAUGGGAAACGGGUUAAUAUUCCCGUACUUGGUGUUACUGCGAAGGGGGGACGGAGAAGGCUAUGUUGGCCGGGCGACGGUUGUCCCGGUUUAAGCGUGUAGGUGUGUGUUCCAGGUAAAUCCGGUUCACUUUAACACUGAGGCGUGACGACGAGGCACUACGGUGCUGAAGCAACAAAUGCCCUGCUUCCAGGAAAAGCCUCUAAGCAUCAGGUAACACGAAAUCGUACCCCAAACCGACACAGGUGGUCAGGUAGAGAAUACCAAGGCGCUUGAGAGAACUCGGGUGAAGGAACUAGGCAAAAUGGUGCCGUAACUUCGGGAGAAGGCACGCUGACACGUAGGUGAAGUGAUUUACUCAUGGAGCUGAAGUCAGUCGAAGAUACCAGCUGGCUGCAACUGUUUAUUAAAAACACAGCACUGUGCAAACACGAAAGUGGACGUAUACGGUGUGACGCCUGCCCGGUGCCGGAAGGUUAAUUGAUGGGGUCAGCGUAAGCGAAGCUCCUGAUCGAAGCCCCGGUAAACGGCGGCCGUAACUAUAACGGUCCUAAGGUAGCGAAAUUCCUUGUCGGGUAAGUUCCGACCUGCACGAAUGGCGUAAUGAUGGCCAGGCUGUCUCCACCCGAGACUCAGUGAAAUUGAACUCGCUGUGAAGAUGCAGUGUACCCGCGGCAAGACGGAAAGACCCCGUGAACCUUUACUAUAGCUUGACACUGAACAUUGAGCCUUGAUGUGUAGGAUAGGUGGGAGGCUUUGAAGUGUGGACGCCAGUCUGCAUGGAGCCGACCUUGAAAUACCACCCUUUAAUGUUUGAUGUUCUAACGUGGACCCGUAAUCCGGGUUGCGGACAGUGUCUGGUGGGUAGUUUGACUGGGGCGGUCUCCUCCUAAAGAGUAACGGAGGAGCACGAAGGUUGGCUAAUCCUGGUCGGACAUCAGGAGGUUAGUGCAAUGGCAUAAGCCAGCUUGACUGCGAGCGUGACGGCGCGAGCAGGUGCGAAAGCAGGUCAUAGUGAUCCGGUGGUUCUGAAUGGAAGGGCCAUCGCUCAACGGAUAAAAGGUACUCCGGGGAUAACAGGCUGAUACCGCCCAAGAGUUCAUAUCGACGGCGGUGUUUGGCACCUCGAUGUCGGCUCAUCACAUCCUGGGGCUGAAGUAGGUCCCAAGGGUAUGGCUGUUCGCCAUUUAAAGUGGUACGCGAGCUGGGUUUAGAACGUCGUGAGACAGUUCGGUCCCUAUCUGCCGUGGGCGCUGGAGAACUGAGGGGGGCUGCUCCUAGUACGAGAGGACCGGAGUGGACGCAUCACUGGUGUUCGGGUUGUCAUGCCAAUGGCACUGCCCGGUAGCUAAAUGCGGAAGAGAUAAGUGCUGAAAGCAUCUAAGCACGAAACUUGCCCCGAGAUGAGUUCUCCCUGAGACUUAGAGUCUCCUGAAGGAACGUUGAAGACGACGACGUUGAUAGGCCGGGUGUGUAAGCGCAGCGAUGCGUUGAGCUAACCGGUACUAAUGAACCGUGAGGCUUAACCUU
RNAcentral lists this ribosomal RNA (3088 nucleotides) under Salmonella enterica subsp. enterica serovar Typhimurium. RNAcentral's name for it is "bacterial LSU rRNA". It matches the Rfam family "Bacterial large subunit ribosomal RNA". Lineage: Bacteria; Pseudomonadati; Pseudomonadota; Gammaproteobacteria; Enterobacterales; Enterobacteriaceae. The record is from RNAcentral.